RNAcentral lists this ribosomal RNA (477 nucleotides) under uncultured bacterium. RNAcentral's name for it is "partial 16S ribosomal RNA". It matches the Rfam family "Bacterial small subunit ribosomal RNA", at positions 28 to 507 of the family's 1533-position model. The record is from RNAcentral.
GACGAACGCUGGCGGCGUGCCUAAUACAUGCAAGUCGAGCGAACAGAUGAGGAGCUUGCUCCUCUGACGUUAGCGGCGGACGGGUGAGUAACACGUGGAUAACCUACCUAUAAGACUGGGAUAACUUCGGGAAACCGGAGCUAAUACCGGAUAAUAUAUUGAACCGCAUGGUUCAAUAGUGAAAGACGGUUUUGCUGUCACUUAUAGAUGGAUCCGCGCCGCAUUAGCUAGUUGGUAGGGUAACGGCUUACCAAGGCAACGAUGCGUAGCCGACCUGAGAGGGUGACCGGCAAAAGUGGGAAUGAGAUACGGCGCAGACUGCUACGGGAGGAAGAAGGGGGGAAUAUUGCAAAAGGGGAGGAAGCAUGAUGAAGCAACGCCGCGGGCGGGAUGACGGCCUUCGGGUUGUAAACCGCUUUCGCCUGUGACGAAGCGUGAGUGACGGUAAUGGGUAAAGAAGCACCGGCUAACUACGUG